GUCCUCUCAGGAUCACACCUGGAAAGUUUCCAGUACUCUACCAGACUCGGUUAUGGGAGGGAGAGUCGAGCAGAGGCACUCCAUUCCAUUUCUAGCUUGAGCAGUGGCAAGCAAGUGGGAGGCAAUCAGCUACAAGG
Molecule: small nucleolar RNA, 137 nt
Organism: Tachyglossus aculeatus (Australian echidna)
Lineage: Eukaryota; Metazoa; Chordata; Mammalia; Monotremata; Tachyglossidae
Source: RefSeq, a predicted model, not a curated record